Acanthosepion pharaonis is the source of this 114-nucleotide non-coding RNA. NCBI's taxonomy places the organism in Eukaryota, Metazoa, Mollusca, Cephalopoda, Sepiida, Sepiidae. The record is from the annotation of a GenBank genome assembly.
CUGUGGCCAUAACACGUUGAAACAUCAUUUCUCGUACGAUCACCGAAGUUAGGAUGCUUCGAGCAUUGUCAGUACUCAGAUGGGUGACCGCUUAGGAAUACCAGGUGCUGGAAU